AAAGCGAGAAAGCGUUGCCGCAGGCAACGACCCGAAGGGCGAAGCGCGCAGCGCUGAGUCAUCCUUCCCCCACCACCA
Molecule: small RNA, 78 nt
Filed under: Salmonella enterica
Lineage: Bacteria; Pseudomonadati; Pseudomonadota; Gammaproteobacteria; Enterobacterales; Enterobacteriaceae
Also listed under: 3 other names
Description: partial RtT sRNA
Rfam family: RtT RNA
About the family: This family represents a bacterial cis-regulatory element known as RtT RNA. The exact function of RtT is unknown although it is thought that it may be involved in changing the cellular response in relation to amino acid starvation.
Source: RNAcentral